GCCGCGUGGAGGAUGAAGGUCUUCGGAUUGUAAACUCCUGUCAUUUGGGAACAAGUUGCAGUGAUUAACUGUCGCUGCAUUGAUAGUACCAGAAGAGGAAGGGACGGCUAACUCUGUGCCAGCAGCCGCGGUAAUACAGAGGUCCCAAGCGUUGUUCGGAUUCAUUGGGCGUAAAGGGUGCGUAGGUGGCGGGGCAAGUCUGGUGUGAAAUCUCGGGGCUCAACCCCGAAACUGCACUGGAUACUGCCUUGCUUGAGUACUGGAGAGGAGAUUGGAAUUUACGGUGUAGCAGUGGAAUGCGUAGAUAUCGUAAGGAAGACCAGUGGCGAAGGCGAAUCUCUGGACAGUUACUGACACUGAGG
Molecule: ribosomal RNA, 362 nt
Filed under: uncultured bacterium
Lineage: Bacteria
Description: bacterial SSU rRNA
Rfam family: Bacterial small subunit ribosomal RNA
Source: RNAcentral